This 1188-nucleotide long non-coding RNA is filed under the name Apteryx haastii (Great spotted kiwi). RNAcentral describes it as "lncRNA (ENSAHAG00000014304.1)". Lineage: Eukaryota; Metazoa; Chordata; Aves; Apterygiformes; Apterygidae. The record is from RNAcentral.
CCCAGCGGAGCACCAAGUGCCUGAAGUCGGGGACAGGGUGGGCGCGCGCCCGCGCCAGCUCGCUCGCGGGAGCCGCUGCGCCGCAGGCAGCCGCGGAGGCAGGACCGGCGCUGGCCAUGCUGUGCCGUGCCGUGCCGUGCCAUGGCGGUGCCAGGGCGCCGGAGGGGGCGGCGCGGCCGUGCCGUGUGUGUAGCAGUGCGUGCCGUGUCGUCGUAGACCCAGUCGAUGUCUCAUGUAGCGCAGAGGUGCCCUGUAGCUCAGUGCCUAGGAGGUGACGUAGCGCCUCGAAUAAACGCAACGCGUGGAGUUUUACCCCGCCGGAGUCGUGUGCUCCCUGGGCUUCCCGAAUUGCUGUGGCCUGCUGGGGCAAUGCCCCCCGAAGGGCRCCCCAGGGCAGAGCACCGUGCUCUGCGGCGUGGCCCAGGCACGGCCGGAGCGGCUCAGCGGAGCAAUGCAAGCGCCAGCGCCGGGUGCUCCGUUUGCAGAGGGAGGGCUGGGCAGGGGGUGCGCUGCCUGAUCGCAGCCUUGCUCCUGCCCGGCCUCUCCCGCAGGCGAGGAGAAAAGGCAGCCAGCGUGAUCCCUGGACGGGCAGCAAGGAUCGCGAGACGGGGAGCCAAAUUACUGCAGAGCGUGGCAUUAGCUAGAGCGCUGCUGGAGCCGGCUGCUUCGUCUGCCGUGAGCGUCACGCGGGAAAAGUUGGAAAUGGUUCAGACAAGAAAAGGACCAGAAUCCUGCCCAAACGACGGGAAGAGAGAGGCUAGAGCGAUAGCCAAGGACAGGUCAGGAUGGAUGGAGAAAUCUUCAGUCAAAAGGCAAAAUAAAUCACGAUGGCCUUGAACGCGCUGGAAGACUGACACAGCACUGACUGCAGGGUUCCUUAUUUACACGAGGGACCACACAGCCUCUGGACGCAGAGCAAAUCAGCCCUGGGGCAGCCGCGCUCCCAGGGAGAGCGGGCACUGGCGUCCGGAGCAGCCCCGGGGGUCCCUGCGGCAGGUCCCAUCCCGGGAACGCCGCGGGGAUCCGCUCAGCCAGGGGGGCGGCGAGGAAGGGCCGUGGGGCGGCGAGCGGGCCGAGACUGGGGUGUGAUCCUGGGGGACCAUAGCCCCAGAGUGAGAUCCCAGGCCCCCAGCCCCAUGUGUGAUCCCAGGCCCCAGCCCCACAAGUGAUCCCAGGCCCCUCAGCCCC